This is a long non-coding RNA of Empidonax traillii (willow flycatcher), 1414 nucleotides long. RefSeq lists it as uncharacterized. The transcript is spliced from 3 exons. NCBI's taxonomy places the organism in Eukaryota, Metazoa, Chordata, Aves, Passeriformes, Tyrannidae. The record is from RefSeq and is a predicted model, not a curated record.
AGUCAGGACAAUACCUCACACCCGUGGACAAAUGGUACUAUCAUUGGUACUGCUGAAAUUGUUGUGGCAGUGAGGUCCAUACAGAACACUCAAUGGACAGCAGGGUCCUGCCUGGAACAGAACAUCAUCAAUAGCAGUGUCACUUCUCAUUGAAACACCACGGAUCACCUCAAAAAUAAUCUGUAAAGGGAAUUACAGCAAACUGCACAGUGAUGGUCUGAACAUCCAUAAGAUUCACAAAGUAUUUUACAGGAUGCUGUGGGCAUCUGUGGGGAGGGGCUGAUGCUCUAGAGUUCCUUCCCCUGUGCCUCAGCAGUCUCUAGUACCACUGGAAGAAGUCUCAGUUGUGGAUCUUCUGCCCAGAGCCAGAUAUAUGAACUACCCAGAACCAAUGAGGAUCACUUGGUAUCAAAAGCAAAAGACACCUCCUUCUGAAUACUCCAAUCUAAGGGAACAGAAAGAGAUGGAUGCCAAUCAAUGUCAUGAAUGUUUAGGCAUCUAGGAGAUUCAGGAAACAGUAUUUUGCUUCAUACAAGGUAUCUAACUGCUGAUUACAAAGAACAAGAAUUUUGAUACAUUUUAGCUUCCCUGGGCUUUGUGUUUUAACUAAUAUAGCCAGUCAAAGUCUUCUUUGUAACUGAGUCCAAGUCAGUGUACAAUCUAAUACAUCUGGAUUAAUUUCUGGGCAUUGAGGUCACCCAGAAUAGGCACAGGGCUCUGCCAUUUGUCUGGCCAAGUCCACUCUUCACAUUUGUCAUGUCCUGGUGGCCUCUCUGCUUCCCCUUGUUACACAAUGGUAACAAAUUAAUUCCUUCAGGCAUCCCCUUCAAACACUCCCAAGCUGCCCUGAGAUACUUGUCAUCACAGAUGCUAGGACCUUAUUCUUAACAAAAGCCCCAAAUAUUUCUAUCUUUUUUUCUAGAUUACAUUUGAAGUGAAAAGCUAAUGAGAAUUUUGGUUAAUUUUAGCACUUAUUUCAAUAUCAUUCCAGUGAGUAUCCAGUAUUAUUCUUGGGUAAUUGCUCACAAAGGAAUUUAGCACACCCCACUUGAACGGUAAGGCACAUUUAUCAAGACUGAAAUAGAACCUCAGAUAUAAAUGAGUCAAUGAAAAAAUCUACCAAUCUGGCCCUGACAGUUCACAACACUGUUUUCUUCAGGAUGCCCUAACUGACUACUUUUUCGUGGUAAGUAAGCAAAGUAAGCAAAAACUCGUCAAAACUUUCCCAAGUAAUAUAGUUUAUGGCCUCUCAUUAAUUUUUUUCUAUUAUUAUUUUUUCUCCUAAAGGAUUACUAAGGCUACUAAGUCUUAUUCUACUUUCUCUGUAUCCUAAAUAUCCUAGGGUGAUGACAUAGACAUUAAUGAAGUUUAGGUAAAUCCAUAAACCACCAUUUGAAUUAACUUACCCUAGUAC